AUUGAACGCUGGCGGCAUGCCUUACACAUGCAAGUCGAACGGCAGCACGGAGCUUGCUCUGGUGGCGAGUGGCGAACGGGUGAGUAAUAUAUCGGAACGUACCCUAGAGUGGGGGAUAACGUAGCGAAAGUUACGCUAAUACCGCAUACGAUCUAAGGAUGAAAGUGGGGGAUCGCAAGACCUCAUGCUCGUGGAGCGGCCGAUAUCUGAUUAGCUAGUUGGUAGGGUAAAAGCCUACCAAGGCAUCGAUCAGUAGCUGGUCUGAGAGGACGACCAGCCACACUGGAACUGAGACACGGUCCAGACUCCUACGGGAGGCAGCAGUGGGGAAUUUUGGACAAUGGGCGAAAGCCUGAUCCAGCAAUGCCGCGUGAGUGAAGAAGGCCUUCGGGUUGUAAAGCUCUUUUGUCAGGGAAGAAACGGUGGGAGCUAAUAUCUCUUGCUAAUGACGGUACCUGAAGAAUAAGCACCGGCUAACUACGUGCCAGCAGCCGCGGUAAUACGUAGGGUGCAAGCGUUAAUCGGAAUUACUGGGCGUAAAGCGUGCGCAGGCGGUUUUGUAAGUCUGAUGUGAAAUCCCCGGGCUCAACCUGGGAAUUGCAUUGGAGACUGCAAGGCUAGAAUCUGGCAGAGGGGGGUAGAAUUCCACGUGUAGCAGUGAAAUGCGUAGAUAUGUGGAGGAACACCGAUGGCGAAGGCAGCCCCCUGGGUCAAGAUUGACGCUCAUGCACGAAAGCGUGGGGAGCAAACAGGAUUAGAUACCCUGGUAGUCCACGCCCUAAACGAUGUCUACUAGUUGUCGGGUCUUAAUUGACUUGGUAACGCAGCUAACGCGUGAAGUAGACCGCCUGGGGAGUACGGUCGCAAGAUUAAAACUCAAAGGAAUUGACGGGGACCCGCACAAGCGGUGGAUGAUGUGGAUUAAUUCGAUGCAACGCGAAAAACCUUACCUACCCUUGACAUGGCUGGAAUCCUUGAGAGAUCAGGGAGUGCUCGAAAGAGAACCAGUACACAGGUGCUGCAUGGCUGUCGUCAGCUCGUGUCGUGAGAUGUUGGGUUAAGUCCCGCAACGAGCGCAACCCUUGUCAUUAGUUGCUACGAAAGGGCACUCUAAUGAGACUGCCGGUGACAAACCGGAGGAAGGUGGGGAUGACGUCAAGUCCUCAUGGCCCUUAUGGGUAGGGCUUCACACGUCGUACAAUGGUACAUACAGAGCGCCGCCAACCCGCGAGGGGGAGCUAAUCGCAGAAAGUGUAUCGUAGUCCGGAUUGUAGUCUGCAACUCGACUGCAUGAAGUUGGAAUCGCUAGUAAUCGCGGAUCAGCAUGUCGCGGUGAAUACGUUCCCGGGUCU
This 1352-nucleotide ribosomal RNA is filed under the name uncultured bacterium. Its description in RNAcentral is "bacterial SSU rRNA". It matches the Rfam family "Bacterial small subunit ribosomal RNA", at positions 28 to 1381 of the family's 1533-position model. The record is from RNAcentral.